Molecule: ribosomal RNA, 555 nt
Filed under: uncultured bacterium
Lineage: Bacteria
Description: bacterial SSU rRNA
Rfam family: Bacterial small subunit ribosomal RNA
Source: RNAcentral
AUUGAACGCUGGCGGCAUGCUUUACACAUGCAAGUCGAACGGCAGCGCGGGGGCAACCUGGCGGCGAGUGGCGAACGGGUGAGUAAUAUAUCGGAACGUACCCAAGAGUGGGGGAUAACGUAGCGAAAGUUACGCUAAUACCGCAUACGAUCUACGGAUGAAAGUGGGGGAUCGCAAGAACCUCAUGCUCCUGGAGCGGCCGAUAUCUGAUUAGCUAGUUGGUGAGGUAAAGGCUCACCAAGGCGACGAUCAGUAGCUGGUCUGAGAGGACGACCAGCCACACUGGGACUGAGACACGGCCCAGACUCCUACGGGAGGCAGCAGUGGGGAAUUUUGGACAGUGGGCGCAAGCCUGAUCCAGCAAUGCCGCGUGAGUGAAGAAGGCCUUCGGGUUGUAAAGCUCUUUUGUCAGGGAAGAAACGGUUCCGGCUAAUAUCCGGAAUCAAUGACGGUACCUGAAGAAUAAGCACCGGCUAACUACGUGCCAGCAGCCGCGGUAUUACGUAGGGUGCAAGCGUUAAUCGGAAUUACUGGGCGUUAAGCGUGCGCAGGCGG